Molecule: long non-coding RNA, 789 nt
Organism: Ostrea edulis (European flat oyster)
Lineage: Eukaryota; Metazoa; Mollusca; Bivalvia; Ostreida; Ostreidae
Exons: 5
Source: RefSeq, a predicted model, not a curated record
AGGUACAUUGAAAACCAAACAGAGCUUACUACAAAAAGCAAAAGAGCGGUGGAUAACAACAGGGUUUAGAAAAUUCGUUCUAGAUAAAGAGCUCUGCGUAAUUACAGCGGUUGUUCAAGCGUCAAUACGAGACAUUUCCAACAAAGUAAAGUGUGCAAUUCUAUAUAUACUAGUAUGGCAGAUCCAAGAAUUCAAAUGGGGAGGGAAGGAGGCACAAUAUCAUGUGAUAUAAAAGGGCAAACAACACAGUUGGAUCAAUCAUUGUAAGUCUGCACCUCUAUAGCUAUAACAAUGAGAGAAAUGUAUCCAAAGCAAUCAGAAUAUAGGUGAUCACAGACAUAUAAAAGUCAACUAUCAAGGAAAAAGUAAUGCAUCUCCAGACAAUACAAUAGUUUGAAAAAUGUCCUUUCUCUGCGACAGCAAAGGAUGACUGUGCAGAAAUACAUGUAAUUUUUUUCCCAAGAGUGAAAUUCGGAAGGUACGCUGCUGCUCAAAGACUUAAGAGAGCCAUGAUUAUAGGCAUGAAGUUAUCCGCCAGCAUUACCUCACAGGCACCACUUGUGAUUUCAUAGUGUGAACAACAAUUGACAUGGAUGUAAACCGCAUCCUUCGAAAUGAAUUAUGGGAAUCACACUCGGCAAACAUGAUUCAGUAUUUUGCCUUCUCUGCAAUAACCAACUACACAAACGUGUGAAAAUUCAGAUGUCUUCUAUCAUUUUCAUUUUUUUUCCAAACCAUGCAAUAAGUAACUGGUCAAAGAUAUAAUAAAGUUUCCAAAGAAAAUGAUAA